UUUCAGAGUCCGAGUUGUAAUUUGCAGAGGGCGCUUUGGCUUUGGCAGCGGUCCAAGUUCCUUGGAACAGGACGUCACAGAGGGUGAGAAUCCCGUACGUGGUCGCUAGCUAUUGCCGUGUAAAGCCCCUUCGACGAGUCGAGUUGUUUGGGAAUGCAGCUCUAAAUGGGAGGUAAAUUUCUUCUAAAGCUAAAUAUUGGCCAGAGACCGAUAGCGCACAAGUAGAGUGAUCGAAAGAUGAAAAGCACUUUGGAAAGAGAGUCAAACAGCACGUGAAAUUGUUGAAAGGGAAGCGCUUGCAGCCAGACUUGCUUGCAGUUGCUCAUCCGGGCUUUUGCCCGGUGCACUCUUUUGCAGGCAGGCCAGCAUCAGUUUGGGCGGUGGGAUAAAGGUCUCUGUCAUGUACCUCUCUUCGGGGAGGCCUUAUAGGGGAGGCGACAUACCACCAGCCUAGACUGAGGUCCGCGCAUCUGCUAGGAUGC
Molecule: ribosomal RNA, 482 nt
Filed under: Exserohilum rostratum
Lineage: Eukaryota; Fungi; Ascomycota; Dothideomycetes; Pleosporales; Pleosporaceae
Description: eukaryotic LSU rRNA
Rfam family: Eukaryotic large subunit ribosomal RNA
Source: RNAcentral